GACGAACGCUGGCGGCGUGCUUAACACAUGCAAGUCGAACGGAAAGGCCCUGCUUUUGUGGGGUGCUCGAGUGGCGAACGGGUGAGUAACACGUGAGUAACCUGCCCUUGACUUUGGGAUAACUUCAGGAAACUGGGGCUAAUACCGGAUAGGAGCUCCUGCUGCAUGGUGGGGGUUGGAAAGUUUCGGCGGUUGGGGAUGGACUCGCGGCGUAUCAGCUUGUUGGUGGGGUAGUGGCUUACCAAGGCUUUGACGGGUAGCAGGCCUGAGAGGGUGACCGGACAAACUGGGACGGGGAUGAGACCCGGACUCGUACGCGAGGGAGCGGUGCGGAGUAGAGUAUAAGGGGCGGAAGCAAAACGCAGCAAAGCAGCGCGGGGGGUGACAGCAAGGGGGUAGUAUUCCACAGCCGCCUGUGACGAAGCGUGAGUGACGGUAAUGGGUGAAGAAGCACCGGCUAACUACGUG
RNAcentral lists this ribosomal RNA (468 nucleotides) under uncultured bacterium. Its description in RNAcentral is "partial 16S ribosomal RNA". It matches the Rfam family "Bacterial small subunit ribosomal RNA", at positions 28 to 507 of the family's 1533-position model. The record is from RNAcentral.